AAAAUAUGACCAAGUUAAAGAGCUGGCCUAUGGAUUCAGAGUUCAGAAUGUCUACCAGAAAUCUUUGCUGUAGGACAGCUAUAGCUAUGCUCAGCAAGACCCAAGUAGCAGAAAGUCUGUCUUAAUUCUAUGAAAAAAAAGAAUACCAACAGUCAACAACCAAUGUGAUUAAUUUGGCCAAUGCAAGGAACACAUGAAAUCUUCAGUCCUAGUUUCCAACUUCUCCAAGAAUAACACCACUGGAAACUUGCAUCACUUUCCUUUGCUUUAGGCAAUGCUAGUGCACCAUACUGUAAUGAUCUAUUAACAGAGUUUCACAAGGCCAACAGAAAUUAAUAAAGAGAAGAGUACAACCCAUCUCCUACUGGUCUGGAAGUGUAUUGACAUCCCAAGCUACUACUGUAAAAUGUCAUUGAGAAAUGUAUCGUGGUAGCAUGUUUUUCCCCAAAGGAAAAGUCAUCUACAACUCAGAUGCAAAGUGUUAUGUGUCUCCUUCCAUGCAAAAAAUUUCAAACCCUGUUCCACUCCACAAUAGCAGAAGAAUAUUGAGCUCCCAGAAGUGAUGCAGCAGCCAAAGGAAGCACAGAUGCAAGCCCUGAGCCUGUGAAUUACAGCGAGAACCAGCUGCAGUCACUAUUGUGAUGAACAGAUAAGGGAGGUGCAAUGUCUGCCUUACAAAUAAAGGCACUUUCUAAUGAUUACUUUAAGCAAAUGUUAAAUCAAGAAUUAAACCCCGGAGUGCCUGGUUGGCUCAAUGGGUUGGGCGACCAACUUCGGCUCAGGUCAUGAUCCCAUGGUGGUCCAUGGGUUCGAGCCCCACAUCAGGCUCUGUGCUGACAGCUCAGAGCCUGCAGCCUACUUCAGAUUCUCUCUCUCUCUCUCUCUCUCUCCCUCUCUCUCUGCCUCUCCCCUGUUUGUGCUCUUCUAUCAAAAAUAAAUAAACAUUAAAAAUUAAAAAAAAAAAAAAGAAUAAAGCCCCUAAAGGAAAAACUAGACACUCCAAUAGAGAUCAGAUCUUAAGAGAUCUUCACUUUGGUGAAGUGGAACCAAUCACUGAUAUUUGGGCCUGUUAUAUAUCCUGUAUUGCUUCAUCAAAGAUGUUUCACCAAUUUGAAAUCACUCCUUGUUCCAGUAUGAUGCUCCCCUUCUGUCAUCUGUGAUAUAUGGAUUUCUGGAGUGCAGGCACCCUAUCUCAUUAUUAGACUCUUGGGAUCCUACUCUCCAGAGCUGGUAAAAUGAAGGAUACAGCCCACUCUCUGAAUUCCUCCUUGAAGAACUUAUUUAUUUCUGUCCAAAAGUGCUACAAGUUACUCCAGGAGGCUGAUAAUUAUAGAAGGCAGUUGCAGUGAAGAAGCAGCAACCCCAGGCUGAAAUUCAACAAAUAUUGCUGAGGCCCCGGUGUGGGCAAGGCAAUGUUAGGUACAUGAAAGAAUAACAAAAAGACCAAAGAGACCAGGAUCCCUACUUCACCUUUUAUCCACAGAGCCUAGCACAGGAUGUACAGCAGCUUUUCAACAAAUGUUUAUGAAACCAAAUUCAUCUUGCUACCAACUCACAAGUCCAUUUACCUCUCCAGAGUUCAGAUGUCACCUCUUGUUUGAAAAAUUAAAAAUAAAUAAAUAAAAGUGGGUUAGAGCAGCACUUCUCAGUCUUCAGUGUACACA
Molecule: long non-coding RNA, 1664 nt
Organism: Acinonyx jubatus (cheetah)
Lineage: Eukaryota; Metazoa; Chordata; Mammalia; Carnivora; Felidae
Exons: 3
Source: RefSeq, a predicted model, not a curated record